CUGCCUACGGGAGGCAGCAGUGGGGAAUAUUGCACAAUGGGGGAAACCCUGAUGCAGCAACGCCGCGUGAGUGAUGACGGCCUUCGGGUUGUAAAGCUCUGUCUUCAGGGACGAUAAUGACGGUACCUGAGGAGGAAGCCACGGCUAACUACGUGCCAGCAGCCGCGGUAAUACGUAGGUGGCGAGCGUUGUCCGGAAUGACUGGGCGUAAAGGGAGUGUAGGCGGCUCAUCAAGUUAGAUGUGAAAUCCCGCGGCUUAACCGCGGAACUGCAUCUAAAACUGGUGAGCUGGAGUGCAGGAGAGG
RNAcentral lists this ribosomal RNA (305 nucleotides) under uncultured bacterium. Its description in RNAcentral is "bacterial SSU rRNA". It matches the Rfam family "Bacterial small subunit ribosomal RNA", at positions 335 to 657 of the family's 1533-position model. The record is from RNAcentral.